AGCACUAGGCCACUUGGGCUUGUCAGCUUUAGCUCAGCUCUUCUCCCACAUUCCAGCUGCGUCCAUCCGGAUCGGUUGGCCCGUCGCUGCAGCCGCGACCGAAUUGCCGAGAUGUUCACGUCGGAUCCACCGAAAGCCCAGCUCCAUCCCUCCCGCUACCACCAGCACGCACCACCGCCGCCUACCACCACCCGGCCGGCGCCCCUCCGUCUCCACGUAUCUUAUCAUGGUUCUCUCCCCCGCCCGCUGCCUCCCUUGCCUUGCCUUGCACACCUCGGCAAAGCAUCCGGAUCGAUUUGUUUACCACCCUCAACCUCAUCGGGUGAGAAGGAAGCUGCCGCCAUGCACGUUGCUUGACGUGAGCUCAUCGGGGACGACGACGCCAGCCAUGAGCGGGAGCAAGCGCGACCGGCGCCGGUGGCCCCUAUGGCGCUGGGCCUUGGUCUCUUGCGUGCUCGCGACGACGGCGGUGGUGGAGGCGGGAGGCGCGGAGGUGACCGAGCUGGACUUCGAGGAGCGCCGGGGCGAGCGGCGCGACCUGCUGGUGCUGCGGGACACGCUGCGGUCGGCGCUGGACCUGCACUCCAACUGGACGGGCCCCCCCUGCCACGGCGGGCGCAGCCGGUGGCGCGGCGUGUCGUGCGACGGCGACGGCCGCGUGGUGGGCGUGGCGCUCGACGGCGCGCAGCUCACGGGCGCGCUCCCGCGUGGCGCGCUCCGCGGCGUGUCGCGGCUCCAGGCGCUGUCCCUGCGCGGGAACGCGCUCCAUGGCGCGCUGCCGGGGCUCGACGGCCUGCCGCGCCUCCGCGCCCUCGACCUGUCCAGCAACCGGUUCUCGGGCCCCAUCCCGCGCGGGUACGCCACGGCGCUGCGGGACCUCGCGCGGCUCGAGCUCCAGGACAACCUGCUCAACGGCACCCUCCCGGCGUUCCGGCAGCGCGGCCUCGUCGUCUUCAACGUGUCCUACAACUUCCUCCAGGGCGAGGUCCCAGCCACCCGCGCGCUGCGCCGGUUCCCCGCGAGCGCGUUCGACCACAACCUCAAGCUCUGCGGCGAGGCCGUGAACGCCGAGUGCCAGGACGGCACGCCGUCGUCGUCCGGCGCUCCGGCCGCUGGAGGCGGCAGCGACAGUCAGGUCGUGAGGCCGGCAGGCGACGGCGAUCGGCCGGCACGGAAGCACAUGCGGUUCAGACUGGCGACGUGGAGCAUCGUGGCGAUGUCCCUCAUCGCCGCGCUGGUAACGUUCGCGGCCGUGCUCAUCUUCCUGCACCACAAGAAGAAGGGCCGGGAGGUCCGUCUCGGCGGCCGUGCCGCAGAGACUCGUGUUCCGUACAAUGCAGGAGGAGUGACCGGAGCAGGGGACAUCAAGGACAAGGCGGAGCAGGGCCGAGGGAGCGGCAGCCGGAGCACGGACUCCGGCAAGGGAGCCGAGCUGCAGUUCUUCCUCGACGACAGGGCCCGGUUCGACGUCGACGAGCUGUUCCGGUCCACGGCGGAGAUGCUCGGCAAGGGCCGGCUGGGGAUCACGUACCGGGUGACCCUCCAGGCCGGCCCCGUCGUCGUCGUGAAGCGGCUCCGCAACAUGGCGCACGUGCCGCGCAGGGACUUCACCCACACCAUGCAGCUCCUGGGCAGGCUCCGGCACGAGAACGUCGUCGACCUCGCCGCGGCCUUCUACUCCAAGGAGGAGAAGCUGGUCGUGUACGAGCACGUCCCCGGCUGCAGCCUCUUCCAGCUCCUGCACGGGAACAGGGGCGAGGGGAGAACGCCGCUGCCGUGGCCGGCGAGGCUGUCGAUCGCGCAGGGCAUGGCGCGCGGGCUGGCGUACCUGCACCAGUCGCUGCCGUACUUCCACCGGCCGCCGCACGGCAACCUCAAGUCCUCCAACGUGCUCGUCUUCUUCUCGGCGGCCGGCGCCAAGGGCAAGCAGCAGCAGCAGGCGGUGCCGAAGCUGACGGACCACGGGUUCCACCCCCUGCUCCCGCACCACGCGCACCGGCUGGCGGCGGCCAAGUGCCCGGAGUUCGCGCGCGGCGGCGGCCGGCGGCUGUCGUCCCGCGCCGACGUGUACUGCCUCGGGGUGGUGCUGCUGGAGCUGGUGACCGGGAAGGUGCCCGUGGAGGAGGACGGCGACCUGGCGGAGUGGGCGCGGCUGGCGCUCAGCCACGAGUGGUCCACGGACAUCCUCGACGUGGAGAUCGUGGCCGACCGCGGCCGCCACGGGGACAUGCUGCGGCUCACGGAGGUCGCGCUGCUCUGCGCCGCGCCCGAGCCCGACAGGCGGCCCAAGGUGCAGGACGUCGUCAGGAUGAUCGACGAGAUCGCCGCCGGCGACGGGCCGGAGCUUGCCGGGCGUUGAGCUCCACGGCGGUGCUGGGCGUGGGCUGAUCGACAUGAUCUUCUUCUUGGUUUGAAAUUUUUUGGUGGCGACGUGGCGUGCACACUACCAGGUAAAAACUUAUGAGCCGUCCGAUUGCCAUGCACGGAGGUAAGCAGGUGCGCAGAAAUGCUCAGCAAUGUCAGCUCCUCCAAACCCAGCAUCUCUUACCUGAGACAGAUGACCCUAAAUGGAUAUAAGAGUGGUCCAUUGGCUCUACAAAACAACAAUCGGUCAACCGUACUUUUUCUUCUUCUAGGAUUUUCGUAGGCCAGCAUUUCAUUAACGGUAAUGCUAGGAUUAGGAUGUUUGACGUGCAGAAAAGAUCGGACCCUGCAACUCAUGUUGAGGAGUCAAAUACCGAUAUUGCAAUUAUUAUUUUUUUAUGUUACACAGUGGAUGUUGCAUGAAACAUGAUUUUAAUGUUGCAAUGGAAAUUCCAAAUAUUAGAGUCA
Panicum virgatum (switchgrass) is the source of this 2832-nucleotide RNA transcript. It is a transcript of the gene named probable inactive receptor kinase At3g02880, with no coding region annotated. The record is from RefSeq and is a predicted model, not a curated record. The transcript is spliced from 4 exons. Lineage: Eukaryota; Viridiplantae; Streptophyta; Magnoliopsida; Poales; Poaceae.